This 678-nucleotide long non-coding RNA is filed under the name Numida meleagris (helmeted guineafowl). RNAcentral's name for it is "lncRNA (ENSNMEG00000009589.1)". The record is from RNAcentral. Lineage: Eukaryota; Metazoa; Chordata; Aves; Galliformes; Numididae.
AGCACCCGUGACUCAGAGCGGUAUUUGCAUAUCCUUGAUCAAGGAAAAAAAAAAGUGACUGGGAGCUCAAGAAGAGCGGGAUCUGGGAAGAGGCAAAAAGAAAAGUAUAGUCAGAAGUGGGUGAGGCUUUCCUCCCCUGGAACGUGCUGCUUUGCACCUGGAAAUGUCUGCCUAGGCACAGCCCCACCACCGCCCACUCUCCUCCCCAUGCUGGAUAUUCCCAUGCAGGCUGAUACAAGCAAGCAGAGACUGUGGGAUCUGGCUUUACCCUGUCUGGGCAAGAUGACUUUCUCAAGAUCAUCUUACACAUCCAUGCUAAUGCAGACAACAGAGGUUUUGUUACUCCCACAUUCUCCUUCUCUCUGCAGACCCUGGACACACAUCCUUUGGUUAUCUGCAUGAAUAGAAGGAUGCAAAAUGCCUCUCCGUCUGAUUCAGUUUCUACCAGAGGUCCUCCAGUUUGGAAAGUCCCUGUUGAAGCUUCAGUGCCAAGAUAUUGUCCAAAAUCCAGAGGAGGAAGAAGGCCCUGGCGCUUCUGGAGACCUGCGCUUCCGAAUCUUUGAGGGUUGCUUCCAGCUCCGGAAUUAUACAAAGUAACCCAAGCUCCACCAAGCAACUAUGAAUUAUGGAAGCAAAGGUCACUUGGAACUGGGAAUCGUGAAUUAUUUUAUUAUUGGC